UCGGGAAUAUUGGACAAUGGAGGAAACUCUGAUCCAGUGACGCCGCGUGAAGGAAGAAGGUCUUCGGAUUGUAAACUUAUUUUGUCAGGGAAGAAAAAAAUGACAGUACCUGAAGAAAAAGCACCGGCCAACUACGUGCCAGCAGCCGCGGUAAUACGUAGGGUGCAAGCGUUAUCCGGAUUUACUGGGUGUAAAGGGCGAGUAGACGGUUAUCUAAGUCAGUUGUGAAAACUCAGUGCUCAACAUUGAGCGUGCAACUGAAACUAGACUACUAGAGUGCAGGAGAGGAAAAUGGAAUUCCUAGUGUAGCGGUGAAAUGCGUAGAUAUUAGGAGGAACACCAGUGGCGAAGGCGAUUUUCUGGACUGUAACUGACGUUGAGGCGCGAAAGUGUGGGGAGCAAACAGGA
This 408-nucleotide ribosomal RNA is filed under the name uncultured bacterium. RNAcentral's name for it is "bacterial SSU rRNA". It matches the Rfam family "Bacterial small subunit ribosomal RNA", at positions 355 to 777 of the family's 1533-position model. The record is from RNAcentral.